GCGCCGAUGGUAUAGUGGUUAGCAUCCUCGCUUCCCAAGCGAGGGACCCGGGUUCGAACCCCGGUCGGCGCA
RNAcentral lists this transfer RNA (72 nucleotides) under Neurospora crassa. RNAcentral describes it as "tRNA-Gly (CCC) (tRNA-Gly-CCC-1-1)". It matches the Rfam family "tRNA". Rfam says of the family: Transfer RNA (tRNA) molecules are approximately 80 nucleotides in length. RNAcentral also lists the same sequence under 8 other names. The record is from RNAcentral. Lineage: Eukaryota; Fungi; Ascomycota; Sordariomycetes; Sordariales; Sordariaceae.